ACGAAUCUCCUCGCCCUCUGCCGGUGGGAGGGAAGUGAGAGCGGCCUCCAGGGACGGGCUGAGAAAGCCAGAACGUGAACGGGCAGCAGGCGUGUUGGACGGUAAGGUGUAGUGGUUAAAGGUGGGGCUGAGGCCAGUUUGGAUAUCCAGCCAGCCCAAUCCUUAUGCCAGAAGAGGAAAAGAGGAGGAUCCCUCGGGUUGUAAUUGAGGUCGUGGCCCAAGAAGAGAGGAAAAUGCUUGAGGUCAACCACUGGCUGCGCAGGCGGUGUCGUCAGGAAGGAUUUGGCUUCUUGGAUCAUGGUCUCCGCUUCCUUCAGAAUCCGGAUGGAAGCUGACCAAACCUACCAUCAGAGCCCGGCUGGUCCAGGGGAACCUCCUUCUUGGCAACAAUGUUGACCACUAAGGUAGUCUAGGCUGAGACAAUCGUGACUUGUCCAAGGCCACCCAACAAGCUUCUUGGCUCAACAGGAAUUUGAACCCAGGUCUUGCGCACCCAGAGCCAGCACUCCCCCAAACUGGCCUGUUUGCCAUCUGCUGAAGAGAGAACCAAGACUCGUACCUCUUCAAAGCGCCCUCUGGACUCUUCAGCACCAGGAAAGCCCCCUCCAAUGUCCAGGAGGUGCAUCUUGUAGCCUAGUUCUGCACCCAUUUCAAAGACCAGGCGAGCGUCUGCUAUGGACUGAGUGAAGAGCUGGGGGUCGGCACAGCUGCUUCCAAUGUGGAAGCUGGAAAGGAAGGCAAGUGGGCUGUGAGCACAAGGAAACCCGCAGCCUACCUGAUGCCAACCACCUCGACAUUCAUCUCCUUUGCAGUCUCAAGCAGGUGACGGCAGACUUUAAGUGUGGCGCCGUAUUUCAUGCUCAUGCAGGUGGAGGACCUGGAGUCGUCGGUAGCCAAGCACAGAAUCAUUCUGUGGAACAAGGUGGGGAGAGCAAACUCAGACGACGACUGUGACAAUUGUGGUAUAUUGCUUAUUCUGAGCCAACAGCAUGCCAGGCACAGUACAGACUCAUCUUUUGCAAAGUCGCUUUCCAGGAGAUGCUUGUGAUAACCCAGCACCUGCCUCCCCUCCAAUUCUGCACCAAGGGCAAAUUAUUUUUAAAAUAUCCCAUUUUUUUUAUAUCUCCUCUUUUGCUGAUUGUUUCUCUCUCUUCUCCGCUUUUUUUCAAAAUCCAGAUAUUCAGUGUAUUUGAAUUUUGGGACAAAGACUUGCAGAGUCACACAGCAAAUCUCCUGAGUUCAGACUGCAAGUUUCUAUCCUCAGUCCCACAUUAAAAAAAUAUAUAUUACCUGUACUUCACCCUCAGGUCCCAGGGCAGGUUACAACAUUGAAACUCAACUUUACAACACAUUUUAAAAAACAUUUUAUAACAUCUUACAAUUAGAGUAAUGAGGUGGGUCCUAAAAAUCUGCACCUCAAAAGUCAGGACAAAGAAAAUUGUCCUCAGCAUUCACCGAAAACUGUAUAAUGAAGGCGCCAGAAACAUCUCUAAGGGGAAGGUCCACAACUGAUUUGCUUGUGUGGUGUUUAUACAUCUUCCUAUUAUUCAUUUAUUCAUCCCACAUUUUUCAAUGCAUUUCCCGGUCACUUUCCUAACCUCAAAAGUUUAAUUUUCUUUUUAAGUGGAUUUGUUGCUGUAGAGCGAUAGAGUCCAUUAAUCGACUUUGUGUGAACCUAAGUUUCUGGGAUGUGCUUGAAUCCCUCUCGCAAAAUAAAAACAGUCUGCAGGCAA
Molecule: non-coding RNA, 1733 nt
Organism: Podarcis muralis (Common wall lizard)
Lineage: Eukaryota; Metazoa; Chordata; Lepidosauria; Squamata; Lacertidae
Source: RefSeq, a predicted model, not a curated record